This 63-nucleotide transfer RNA is filed under the name Berthellina sp. TLT-2006. RNAcentral describes it as "tRNA-Leu". Lineage: Eukaryota; Metazoa; Mollusca; Gastropoda; Pleurobranchida; Pleurobranchidae. The record is from RNAcentral.
UAUGAAAUGGCAGAAUUAAUGCCUAAACUUUAAGCGUUUAUCAUGACUUUUAGUCUUUCAUAA